Molecule: ribosomal RNA, 497 nt
Filed under: uncultured bacterium
Lineage: Bacteria
Description: partial 16S ribosomal RNA
Rfam family: Bacterial small subunit ribosomal RNA
Source: RNAcentral
GAUGAACGCUGGCGGCGUGCCUAAUACAUGCAAGUCGAGCGAACAGACGAGGAGCUUGCUCCUCUGACGUUAGCGGCGGACGGGUGAGUAACACGUGGAUAACCUACCUAUAAGACUGGGAUAACUUCGGGAAACCGGAGCUAAUACCGGAUAAUAUAUUGAACCGCAUGGUUCAAUAGUGAAAGACGGUUUUGCUGUCACUUAUAGAUGGAUCCGCGCCGCAUUAGCUAGUUGGUAAGGUAACGGCUUACCAAGGCAACGACGCGUAGCCGACCUGAGAGGGUGUUCGGCCACACUGGAACUGAGACACGGUCCAGACUCCUACGGGAGGCAGCAGUAGGGAAUCUUCCGCAAUGGGCGAAAGCCUGACGGAGCAACGCCGCGUGAGUGAUGAAGGUCUUCGGAUCGUAAAACUCUGUUAUUAGGGAAGAACAAAUGUGUAAGUAACUAUGCACGUCUUGACGGUACCUAAUCAGAAAGCCACGGCUAACUACGUG